CGAGAUCUGGGCUUAACAGUUUCCUAUCACCCACUUCUUCCCAACAUAUCGACGACCUACAUGGGCAGCCGUACAACGCCUCAUACGGUGCCAUAUCAAUACUUGCUUGGUGACUGUUGUUGUAGGCAAACUCUAUCAGGGAUAGAUUGUCAUUCCAAUGGCCCCCGAAGUCAAGAACACAAGCUCAGAGCAUAUCCUCAAGUGUGCGGAUCGUUCU
This 217-nucleotide long non-coding RNA is filed under the name Carica papaya (papaya). RNAcentral's name for it is "long non-coding RNA (CPAP_LNC004634)". Lineage: Eukaryota; Viridiplantae; Streptophyta; Magnoliopsida; Brassicales; Caricaceae. The record is from RNAcentral.